Lepus europaeus (European hare) is the source of this 226-nucleotide long non-coding RNA. RefSeq lists it as uncharacterized. The transcript is spliced from 3 exons. The record is from RefSeq and is a predicted model, not a curated record. NCBI's taxonomy places the organism in Eukaryota, Metazoa, Chordata, Mammalia, Lagomorpha, Leporidae.
GAAGGCGGGUCCGGGGCCGAGGGGAGGCCCCGGGGCAUGCAGGGGAGGAGGAUCGCCAAGCGGGAAGGGUUCUAGGGAGGCGAUUGCGCCCCACGUCUUCUUUGUGAGAGCUCAUAUCCGUUCUAAGGAUCACUCGGUCUCCCUCCUCCACGGACAGAGAAAAGCGACUCCGGCGACUCAGCUGAAACGUAAGAACGGCCUUCCGCGCCCACAAUCCGAGUACUGA